This 914-nucleotide ribosomal RNA is filed under the name uncultured marine archaeon. RNAcentral describes it as "bacterial SSU rRNA". It matches the Rfam family "Archaeal small subunit ribosomal RNA", at positions 1 to 922 of the family's 1478-position model. The record is from RNAcentral.
UUCCGGUUGAUCCUGCCGGACCUGACUGCUAUCGGAUUGAUACUAAGCCAUGCGAGUCUUUGUAGUAAUACAAGGCAUACGGCUCAGUAACGCGUAGUCAACCUACCCUAUGGACAAGAAUAAUCUCGGGAAACUGAGCAUAAUUCUUGAUAGAUCAUAAUGCCUGGAAUGGUUUAUGGUUAAAAUGAUUCGUCGCCAUAGGAUGGGACUGCGGCCUAUCAGCUUGUUGGUGAGGUAAUGGCCCACCAAGGCGAUAACAGGUACGGGCUCUGAGAGGAGAAGCCCGGAGAUGGGUACUGAGACAAGGACCCAGGCCCUAUGGGGCGCAGCAGGCGAGAAAACUUUGCAAUGUGCGAAAGCACGACAAGGUUAGUCCGAGUGAUUUCUGCUAAAGAGAUCUUUUGCUAGUUAUAAAACCACUAGUGAAUAAGGGGUGGGCAAGUUCUGGUGUCAGCCGCCGCGGUAAAACCAGCACCUCAAGUGGUCAGGAGGAUUAUUGGGCCUAAAGCAUCCGUAGCCGGCUCUGUAAGUUUUCGGUUAAAUCCAUGUGCUCAACGCAUGGGCUGCCGAAAAUACUGCAUAGCUAGGGAGUGGGAGAGGUAGACGGUACUCGGUAGGAAGGGGUAAAAUCCUUUGAUCUAUUGAUGACCACCUGUGGCGAAGGCGGUCUACCAGAACACGUUCGACGGUGAGGGAUGAAAGCUGGGGGAGCAAACCGGAUUAGAUACCCGGGUAGUCCCAGCUGUAAACGAUGCAGACUCGAUGAUGCAUUGGCAUAUAGCCAGUGCAGUGUCGCAGGGAAGCCGUUAAGUCUGCCGCCUGGGAAGUACGUACGCAAGUAUGAAACUUAAAGGAAUUGGCGGGGGAGCACCACAAGGGGUGAAGCCUGCGGUUCAAUUGGAUUCAACGCCGGG